GCUUUCUGUCUGGUUUCUAGAUGGAGACUGACAGGAUCCUGGCUUGGGGGCCCUCCGGCAGGGCUGGCUGCUGGGCUGGCAGGCUCUGGCGCUCCCCUUCCCCAGAACCGACUUUGUCCCUGGCAGCCAUGGUGGCUGUACUAACUACAUUCUUCCUCCACCUUUGCACUAAGAAAAGCAAAUAAGCAGACCAAAGAACUGUUUGCAUUUGCCCCAGAUGCUCCCUGGCUGCAGGAAGAGCAGCCACCAACUUCCUCAGGAGGAAAAUUCGAUUGUGCACCGAGCGGCAGCGUGAAGAGACCGGGCCAAGCAGGCAGGGUGCUGCGGGUCAACAAGGUGCUGCUGUGCUCCUGAAGCCUUCAGGAUCCUCAGCCUGGGAGCUCAGGAAAGGGUGGGGCUCCAGCUCACCUGGCUUUCCGCCUUACUGAGCUCCAAAGACAGGCUUGUUCCAUGUCACGGAGAGCCCUUAUCCUGCGUGUGCGUCUCGCUCCCUGAGAAGCCUAUUUGUGCCUUGUCACCAGAAAUGUACCUUUUUUCUUCUCUCAUCUGUCCCUGACACCCCCAGCUUAUCUAGCCUGAAGAGAGGCUAUCAAAAUGCUAAUAGCCAGAUGGAAAACAAGGAAAAAUAAGCCCUUUCCCAUAAGGAAGCAAUACGGAUUUUGGAACCGAAGGCAUUUCUACUAUUCUCCCAACAUCAUUCCCUCCGCCCUGGGUGUGCUUCCAAGAGGGUCGGAGGUGUCACCUGCCGUACCCUAGGACUGGCUGAGGCAAAACACACCUGGAGAUUUCCUGUAAAUGAAAAAGUGAAUCACUAAAAGGGGGAGCUGUCAUCCCCCGGCAUUUUUCUGUGCACAGGCGACCUAGUGUUGGGAUGGCAGCAGAACUCGGACAACGGAGCCAACAUGCGGAGGGAAGCCCUCACCAGCCUGCAUUCGACUUGUGUGAGAGAGAAGUGAACAUUUACGUGCAAAGCCACUGAGCUUUUGUUGUUGUUCCUGCAGCACAGGGCAUUCUAACCUGCCUAAUACUGAAACGAGUACUGUUAGGCUCGAUCUGUAAAAAGGAGAACAUAAAAGGCCUGCAUAUUCUCUUUUA
This is a long non-coding RNA of Pongo pygmaeus (Bornean orangutan), 1095 nucleotides long. RefSeq lists it as uncharacterized. Lineage: Eukaryota; Metazoa; Chordata; Mammalia; Primates; Hominidae. The record is from RefSeq and is a predicted model, not a curated record. The transcript has 2 exons.